Molecule: unclassified non-coding RNA, 350 nt
Filed under: soil metagenome
Description: partial contains 5.8S ribosomal RNA, internal transcribed spacer 2, and large subunit ribosomal RNA
Rfam family: 5.8S ribosomal RNA (bases 1-120)
Source: RNAcentral
GAUGAAGAACGCAGCGAAAUGCGAUAAGUAAUGUGAAUUGCAGAAUUCAGUGAAUCAUCGAAUCUUUGAACGCAACUUGCGCUCUCUGGUAUUCCGGAGAGCAUGCCUGUUUGAGUGUCAUGAAAUCUCAACCAUUAGGGUUUCUUAAUGGCUUGGAUUUGGAGGCUGCCAUUCUAAAUGGCUCCUCUUAAAGGAGUUAGCAAGUUUUACUAUUGCUAUCUGGCGUAAUAAGUUUCGCUGGAAUGGUAUUGUGAAGCGUGCUUCUAAUCGUCUUCGGACAAUUACUUUGACUCUGGCCUCAAAUCAGGUAGGACUACCCGCUGAACUUAAGCAUAUAAAUAAGCGGAGGA